Molecule: long non-coding RNA, 783 nt
Organism: Dunckerocampus dactyliophorus (ringed pipefish)
Lineage: Eukaryota; Metazoa; Chordata; Actinopteri; Syngnathiformes; Syngnathidae
Exons: 3
Source: RefSeq, a predicted model, not a curated record
AGAGCGUGCAUGUGUGCCACCAGCUAAUGGUCACUUGUAUGUCAAUAUUAACAUCCGAUGUAGGUCAUUUUAUUGAAAUACUGACAUGACGAAGCAAUACAAGCUUUCUGCUGGGAAGCGCCUAGCUAAGCCCGUUCUGUUUGGGACUCUGAUUGUUGGACUGGCUGCUGUUUUCUUGAACAGGCAGAGGUUCUUUGAGGACGUGGCUGACCUCCGGGCCCAGGAGCAAGCACGCAGUGAUGCCAGGAGGGUGGAGGUCAUGGAGAGGAGGCGGAGGCAGAUGGAGGAGUUGGCGGAAAUUAAGAAAAGCGGAAGCAUUUGAACACAGCGGCCUUGAAUAGCAAAUUUAAAAAAUAUAUAAACCAAUAAAUAUAAAUAAAUAUAUAUCAAUCGAAAACGGUGGAUUUAACCUCUUGUAAAUAUGAAGAACGAUGAAUAUUGAUUGUUUGUUUUUUCUAUUAUGUGUCUGUUUUGAGACAUGCUCAUGGACAAUUAAAAGAGAAGCAAAUCUAAACAGUGAAACUGAGUUUUUAAGUGUAGUAAUGUAGUUUGACCACAAGAGGGCAUUGUUGAGCAAAUUAGUCAUAGUAGCGUAGUAAUGUAGUUCUAAACUUGGCCACAAGAGGGCAGUGUUGGACAAAGUGGUCGGGCCUGCGGCGACGUCAACCAGUUUCCAGCCUAGAGGAGGCCUAAGAGAGGACAGAAGAAUGUGGUGAAGUGGUGGUUGUGACCCAUGUCGCUGUUACUCCACUGAAUGAUUCCAUGAGAAGAAGCGCUGGGAUG